ACCGGGAGAGACCGCAUCCGCGGCGCCGAAGGGGCCAAACUCUCAGGCAAAAGGACCGGUU
Molecule: non-coding RNA, 61 nt
Filed under: bovine gut metagenome
Description: Glycine riboswitch
Rfam family: Glycine riboswitch aptamer
About the family: This family represents the bacterial glycine riboswitch. Glycine riboswitches usually consist of two metabolite-binding aptamers domains with similar structures in tandem.
Source: RNAcentral